RNAcentral lists this ribosomal RNA (440 nucleotides) under uncultured bacterium. Its description in RNAcentral is "partial 16S ribosomal RNA". It matches the Rfam family "Bacterial small subunit ribosomal RNA", at positions 338 to 795 of the family's 1533-position model. The record is from RNAcentral.
CCUACGGGAGGCAGCAGUGGGGGAUAUUGCACAAUGGGGGGAACCCUGAUGCAGCGACGCCGCGUGGGUGAAGAAGCGCCUCGGCGCGUAAAGCCCUGUCAGCAGGGAAGAAAAUGACGGUACCUGAAGAAGAAGCCCCGGCUAACUACGUGCCAGCAGCCGCGGUAAUACGUAGGGGGCAAGCGUUAGCCGGAUUUACGGGGUGUAAAGGUGGCGCAGACGGCGAUGCAAGCCAGGAGUGAAAGCCCUGGGCCAAACCCCGGGACGGCUCUUGGAACUGCGUGACUUGAGUGCGGGAGGGGCAGGCGGAAUUCCUGGUGUAGCGGUGAAAUGCGUAGAUAUCAGGAGGAACACCGGUGGCGAAGGCGGCCUGCUGGACUGCAACUGACGUUGAGGCCCGAAAGCGUGGGGAGCAAACAGGAUUAGAUACCCUAGUAGUC